RNAcentral lists this ribosomal RNA (755 nucleotides) under uncultured bacterium. Its description in RNAcentral is "bacterial SSU rRNA". It matches the Rfam family "Bacterial small subunit ribosomal RNA", at positions 28 to 776 of the family's 1533-position model. The record is from RNAcentral.
AUUGAACGCUGGCGGCAGGCUUAACACAUGCAAGUCGAGCGGAAACGAUGGUAGCUUGCUACCAGGCGUCGAGCGGCGGACGGGUGAGUAAUACUUAGGAAUCUACCUAGUAGUGGGGGAUAGCUCGGGGAAACUCGAAUUAAUACCGCAUACGACCUACGGGAGAAAGGGGGCAACUUGUUGCUCUCGCUAUUAGAUGAGCCUAAGUCGGAUUAGCUAGAUGGUGGGGUAAAGGCCUACCAUGGCGACGAUCUGUAGCUGGUCUGAGAGGAUGAUCAGCCACACCGGGACUGAGACACGGCCCGGACUCCUACGGGAGGCAGCAGUGGGGAAUAUUGGACAAUGGGGGCAACCCUGAUCCAGCCAUGCCGCGUGUGUGAAGAAGGCCUUUUGGUUGUAAAGCACUUUAAGCAGUGAAGAAGACUCUAUGGUUAAUACCCAUAGACGAUGACAUUAGCUGCAGAAUAAGCACCGGCUAACUCUGUGCCAGCAGCCGCGGUAAUACAGAGGGUGCAAGCGUUAAUCGGAAUUACUGGGCGUAAAGCGAGCGUAGGUGGCUUGAUAAGUCAGAUGUGAAAUCCCCGGGCUUAACCUGGGAACUGCAUCUGAUACUGUUAGGCUAGAAUAGGUGAGAGGAAGGUAGAAUUCCAGGUGUAGCGGUGAAAUGCGUAGAGAUCUGGAGGAAUACCGAUGGCGAAGGCAGCCUUCUGGCAUCAUAUUGACACUGAGGUUCGAAAGCGUGGGUAGCAAACAGG